This 253-nucleotide ribosomal RNA is filed under the name uncultured bacterium. RNAcentral describes it as "partial 16S ribosomal RNA". It matches the Rfam family "Bacterial small subunit ribosomal RNA", at positions 524 to 776 of the family's 1533-position model. The record is from RNAcentral.
UACGUAGGGGGCGAGCGUUGUCCGGAUUUAUUGGGCGUAAAGCGCGUGUAGGCGGCCAGGUAGGUCUGCUGUGAAAACUCGAGGCUCAACCUCGAGACGUCGGCGGAAACCAUCUGGCUAGAGUCCGGAAGAGGAGAGUGGAAUUCCUGGUGUAGCGGUGAAAUGCGCAGAUAUCAGGAAGAACACCCGUGGCGAAGGCGGCUCUCUGGGACGGUACUGACGCUGAGACGCGAAAGCGUGGGGAGCGAACAGG